Long non-coding RNA from Pieris rapae (cabbage white), 385 nucleotides. RefSeq lists it as uncharacterized. The transcript has 3 exons. NCBI's taxonomy places the organism in Eukaryota, Metazoa, Arthropoda, Insecta, Lepidoptera, Pieridae. The record is from RefSeq and is a predicted model, not a curated record.
AAAAUGAAAAUUGAAAUCAAUAUUGUUUAAUUGCGUUAAAUGUUAAUUGCGAGGUUAUUGUAAUAAGCUAAAAAAGGGAUUGACAAUGUUACUAAUAGACAUUUAAUGUCGUUUCUUUAUUUUCAGAUCAACAACACAAUUGUUUAUUUGAAUUUUAUCAAUUCCAUAUAAAAUAAGAUUGGAAUUGAAAUUUGGAAGAUGAGAGUUUCGUUAUUAAAUAAACUAACAAAUUAACCUUUAGUGACGACCAAAUCAAGAUAUGGUAAAAAUGAUCUGCAUUGAAGCUAUGGAAGUUGUUUAUUCAAUAUUGUGUUGAGAAAGAAUAAUACCCUUGCACUGGUCCAGUGGACUAGGAACAGGUCCUGGAGGUCCAGGAGGACCGGGA